Long non-coding RNA from Cucumis sativus (cucumber), 4468 nucleotides. RefSeq lists it as uncharacterized. Lineage: Eukaryota; Viridiplantae; Streptophyta; Magnoliopsida; Cucurbitales; Cucurbitaceae. The transcript is spliced from 4 exons. The record is from RefSeq and is a predicted model, not a curated record.
UAUUAUACAAUUUUAUUACAUUCUUUGGUUCAUUUCUCAGGUAGAGAUGGUUGUCAUGAUUGGUUAUGUGUUGUGUGAUUUUGAUCCUUGUUUAAGGGGUCUCAUUCUGCGAUAGUUUAGUACUGUGUUAAUUUUUUUAAGAAAGGUCAUUUGUUGAGACUUGAAAUUGAUAUUCUAAAUCUAGAGAGCAGUGGAUGGUUGAGGUUUGGUAGGGAUGAUUGUGUGACCCAACUCUCUUCCAGAUAAUUGCUACUUGUGAAGUCCUAAUUUUUUAUUUUGCAAAAUAAUAUUUCUAUCAAUACAAUUAGAAGUCCUAACUAACUGAAUUCAAUCAACCCUAUAAAGAAGUCCGCGGAAGUUUACUUUCCUCGUCUUCUGUCCUAUUCCAUUUUCUUCUCUAGCGACGACACUACAGGAAGAACAAGACCUCCUUCAAUGGCAGCAACUUCCUCAAGGUACGGAUUCAGAUCCCCCUGCCCGAGCGAGUCUGAUUAUUGAAUGCACUACGUGGUUUCAAGGCUUUUUGGAUGAAAAGGGGUUUGCGUCCGGUCCUCAAAUAAGAGAAAGAGUGGAAUGCGGCAUGAACCCUGUUUUCGAUAAGCUCACGGAGCGGUUUUGACAGCGAACGAUAAGAGAGAGAUAUAUACGAGCGUCUGAAUCAAUUUCUGCGACUGAUUUGAGCACAAGACAGAGUAAUAGCAAUCAACUAGUUGAAACUGAAGGAUGAAUCCCAUUCAUGCGAAGUUUAGGGUGAACAAGUCAGGGGAGCAUGACAUGGAGCAACAAUACACAAGGACGGAAAUGGAGAUAUGAAGUUUGGGGUCAUCCAACAAGGCUAUGUUAGAAAAUUCACCACCUCGAUUGUGUGCAAACUAGUUCCCAAUGGAAUUGCAUUACUGUUGGUAGUGCCAAUAAGGUUAGGUUUCCUACUCCCCAAAUUUUUUCAAGACUUUCAGUAAAUGCUUUCUUUUUAUUAUAUCUUUGAUAUAUGAUUUGUUUUUACGUUCUUUGUGAAAUCAUGUUUUUAUUUUAAGGGUAAAUAAACAUGAGAGAGAGGUUGAGCAGGGAAUGAAGUUCUUUCCUUAAGGCUUAAUUGUUGUAGGUCGUUAAAAAUGGAGCAUUGAUUUCUAUUUAUUAUCCUUAUUAAGAAAACCCAAGCUAAUAGAUCAUCUUAAUGAAAGAAUACAAGAGAAAACACUCCAAAAGGUGGUCAAUUAUUAACCUUAAAAGAGGCUCUAAUACAGCAACAGAAGACAUAAAGGUUUCUCAUACAAAGUUAUGGUAUUAUUAACUUUAAAAGGGUCUAUAAUAAAGCAAAACAAGACUUUAAAGCUUUGCACAUUUCCCAUUAAAAAAUGUGAAAUCUAUCAUAUUCACACCUAAAACAAAAUCUCUAUAUAUCCCUCUAAAAUCUUAUUGCUAUUUUUUUCACCACAAACCCCAUUAACUUUUUUUUAUUGAAAAGUCCUAGCUAUUUUUUUGACAAUCAAGUAAAGUUUGGUUGAAAAAUUCAGAAAAUGGACAAAUUAAGAGAUUCAUAGGAUAAGAGAACUUUGGUUUAAUAUCUAAGAUUGGACUAUCAAACCUUUCCUUGGAUGAAAGUGUAGAUAUUUGGAUGCAAAGUUUAAGGUUGGAGAUUGGACAUCAAUAUUUGGAUUGAAGAGUCCUAGGCAUUGUUUGGAUUACAAUGUAGAAAUUAAAUGGUUGAAGAGUUCAUAAAUGGAUAAAUUAAGAGAUGCAUAAGAUAAGAGAACUUUGGUUUGAAGUUUGAGCUUGGAUUACAACCUUUUUUAUUGAGGAUACCUAGGAAUUCUUUUGACGAAUGUGUAGAAAUUGGAAGCAAAGUUAAGAAAAUUGACAAAUAAGGAGAAUUUUGGUAUGAGGUUGGAAAUUUUGGUUUAGUUGAGACAUACGGGUGAUCCUCUUGAUCCAACAUUUAGCUUCUUUAUUAUUGUUCUCAUUGUAUAACUCUCUUGUAUACUUUGAUUUUUAUUCUAAUAAAGAAGUUUGUCUCCUUUCCACAAAAACUACAAAAUAUUAGGAUCGAAGAGACCUAGCAACACUUUGAUUAUGUAAAAACUUGGUUGAAGAUUUCAUAAAAUUAAAAAUUAAGAAUACAUAAUUAGAUCAUAAAUGUUGGUUUAAUUAAGUGUGAGGUUGAAGAUCAUUGGAAGUUAAGAAAAUGGACAAAUAAAUAGAGCUUUUGUUGAAGGUUAGAGAUUGGACUUCAACAUUUCAACAUUUGUAUUGAAGAGGCCUAGCCAUUCUCUGAUUAUAAAGCAAAAAUUUGGUUGAAGAGUUCAUAACAUGGUGUCAAGUUAAAAGAUACAUAAGAUUAGAGAAUUUUGGUUUAAAGUUUGAGAUUAAUUAGACUUCAACUUUAAUAUUGAAAACUACUAGACAUUUUUUGGAUGAAAAAAGUAAAGUCAAGAGAUUUUUUUGUUUAAGGUUGGAGAUUGGACAUCCACAUUCGGAUUGAAGAGACCUGGCCAUUGGUUGGACUACAAUGUAAAAACUUAAUUGAAAUUAAGAGAUACAUAUAAUAAGAGAAUUUUGGUUUGAAGUGUGUGAAAUUGGACUAUUCUAUUUGAUUGAGGACACCUAGGAUUUCUUUGGAUGAAAGUUUAGUUUGAUAUUUGGAAGCAAAGAAAAUGGACAAAUAAGGAGUUUUGGUUGAAGGUGGAAGGUUGGAGAUUGAACUUCAACAUUUGUAUUGAAGAGGCCUAGUCAUUCUUUGAAUUAUUUAAUAAAAACUUGGUUGAAGAAAUACAUAAGAUAAGAGAAUUUUGGUUCGAAGUUUGAGAUUGGACUACUACUUUUUUAUUGAAGACACUUGGGAAUUUUUUGGGUGAAAGUGCAGAUAAUUGGAAACAAAGUUAAGAAAUUGACAAAUAAGGAGAAUUUUGGUUUAACGAUGGAGAUUUGAUUUCAACAUUUGCAUUGAAGAGACCUAGCUUGUAAAAACAUGGUUGAAAAUUUCAUAAAAUCGACAAAUUAAGAGAUACAUAUAUAAGAUACGAGAUGCUUGUUUUGAGUGUGAGAUUCGACUACACUAUUUGAUUGAUUACAUCUAUAGGAUUUAUGUGGACGAAAGUGUAGAUAAUUUUUUUUUUGUAAAGGUAUUGUAAUAAAUGCAGGGUGAGAAGUUGAACAUGGGAUCUCUUGUCCACAUGGACAUAUAGGUACCAGUUGAGCUAAGCUCAUGUUGGCAAGGUGUAGAUAAUUGGAAGUGAAGAAAAUGGACAAAUAAGGAGAGUUUUGGCUGAAGGUUUGAGAUUGAACUUCAACAUUUGUAUCCAAGAGGCCUAGUCAUUCUUUGGAUUAUAAAGUAAAAAUUUUGGUUGAAGAGCUCAUAAAAUGGUUAAGUUAAGAGAAACAUAAAAUUGGAAAAUUUUUGUUUAUAGUCUAAGGUUGGACUACAACGUUUUUUUAUUGAAGAAACCUAGACAUUCUAAAGAUGAAAAUGGCUAGAUUGAAUAUUAAAUUAAGAAUUUAAACAUGGCUAGAUUGAAUAUUAAAUUUGCACGUGUAAAGUUUUAAGCAGGAGUAACGAAUUGAGAAUAGUUUAUGCAUGACUAACUUAGUUUAAGAACUCUAGAAAUAAGAGAAUUUUGGUUACUAAGGAGAGGAUGAUGAAAGUUUUGUUGAAAUGUUGAAGUGCUGCUGGUUUAGCUACGCGAGAAAAGGCUUGCGAGAAAAAUGACUUCUUUAGUAAAGUUUUGUGAGUGAUUUUCUCUCAAAUAAAUUUAUGUUUAAAAUUUUAUUAUGAUUUCUCUUUAUUGAUUUGAAAGAAAAAUUCAAAUAAGAAUGAUUCAAAGAUGUUUCUAUGAAAAAGUUAUGUUUUCAAGCAUGAUUUAUAAUGUUAAAGCUUGAUUUAAUGAUUAUGAUUUUAAUACUAUAAAAUGGUUUUCAAACUAUUAGUUGUUUAUUUGAGAUGAUACUAACUUUUAUGUGUACAUAAAGAGUUGUUAAGGCCACCAUGGGUGUAUGAGCUACAUGGUGACAAGAAGCUGGCUUAUGCGUUGAAAUGAGCAUAUAAGGUUUAGCAGCCUGGGCAACAUGGACGAAUCUAUAUGUUUUUGGAUGUUGUUGAUACAACAAUUUAAACACGAGUUAAUGAGACUAAACGUAGAGAACGAUUCGAGAUCCUUGGCGAAAGAAAAUGAUUUGUUAAGCAUAAAAAAAGCUUUAUGUGAAAUAAAAUAAUUUGAUAUUUUUGCGAAAUGGUUAUGAAAAGAUAUUACAAAAGGUUUUCAUAAUACCUGAGUCAUUUGACUGACGUUUUCAAAAUUAAUCUUUUAAGAUCAUAAGUUUAGGCCAAGUAGAGAAGGAAGUGGAAGGUUUUGUGGCGAGAUGAGAAAGCUACGUCUGUUUAAGAGUUUACUUAAUGCAACUUUUGGUUAAGAAUCGUUUCUUUACCUUGUUUUACUUAACACCUAUUAUUAAUAAAGUGUAAGUUUUUGCUGAA